Molecule: ribosomal RNA, 468 nt
Filed under: uncultured bacterium
Lineage: Bacteria
Description: partial 16S ribosomal RNA
Rfam family: Bacterial small subunit ribosomal RNA
Source: RNAcentral
GACGAACGCUGGCGGCGUGCUUAACACAUGCAAGUCGAACGGAAAGGCCCUGCUUUUGUGGGGUGCUCGAGUGGCGAACGAGUGAGUAACACGUGAGUAACCUGCCCUUGACUUUGGGAUAACUUCAGGAAACUGGGGCUAAUACCGGAUAGGAGCUCCUGCUGCAUGGUGGGGGUUGGAAAGUUUCGGCGGUUGGGGAUGGACUCGCGGCUUAUCAGCUUGUUGGUGGGGUAGUGGCUUACCAAGGCUUUGACGGGUAGCCGGCCUGAGAGGGUGACCGGCCACAUUGGGACUGAGAUACGGCCCAGACUCCUACGGGAGGCAGCAGUGGGGAAUAUUGCACAAUGGGCGGAAGCCUGAUGCAGCAACGCCGCAUGCGGGAUGACGGCCUUCGGGUUGUAAACCGCUUUCGCCUGUGACGAAGCGUGAGUGACGGUAAUGGGUAAAGAAGCACCGGCUAACUACGUG